UACGUAGGUCCCGAGCGUUGUCCGGAUUUAUUGGGCGUAAAGCGAGCGCAGGUGGUUUAUUAAGUCUGGUGUAAAAGGCAGUGGCUCAACCAUUGUAUGCAUUGGAAACUGGUAGACUUGAGUGCAGGAGAGGAGAGUGGAAUUCCAUGUGUAGCGGUGAAAUGCGUAGAUAUAUGGAGGAACACCGGUGGCGAAAGCGACUCUCUGGCCUGUAACUGACACUGAGUCUCGAAAGCGUGGGGAGCAAACAGG
This 252-nucleotide ribosomal RNA is filed under the name uncultured bacterium. Its description in RNAcentral is "partial 16S ribosomal RNA". It matches the Rfam family "Bacterial small subunit ribosomal RNA", at positions 524 to 776 of the family's 1533-position model. The record is from RNAcentral.